Molecule: long non-coding RNA, 508 nt
Filed under: Triticum aestivum (bread wheat)
Lineage: Eukaryota; Viridiplantae; Streptophyta; Magnoliopsida; Poales; Poaceae
Description: long non-coding RNA (TAES_LNC008518)
Source: RNAcentral
ACGCUUCCACUGUCCGCCGUGAUGCACCACCUGGCCAGAAGGUUGGUCUCAUUGCUGCCAGGAGGACUGGUCGUCUCAGAGGCCAGGCUGCUGCCUCUGCUGCCAAGGCCGACAAGGCCACUUAGAGCUAUCGUUGCUGUUUAUCUAUGUUUGCUGCCUCUAGAUUACCCGUCAAGGACAUGUAUUGCAGUAUGGAUGUCGUUUUUGCUCACUUUGGUAACCUGGUGAUGUUUGUUAUCAGUUUUCGCUGUCGUGGUCUGGAUUCUUCGGUCCACAUAAAGAAGAUUAUGCAUGGAUAUUUGUUUGUCGAGUUGCUUGAGUUAGCCCCUGGCGCUUAUUUUUGUUUACUGUUUUAGUUUAGCUAUAUUGCUGGAUCUCUAAACGUAGUUUUGUUUGGUCGAAUCAAACAGUUGUAUGUUUGCUUCUAUCUCGUGGUUCUUUGGAAUUUUAACCUUAGAGCCUCUCCAAUAGGUGAGUUAGAUGUAUAUAUAAAAAUGCCUGAUUUUUA